UUAUCAAAUAAUUUGCUUUAUCUGUUUCCUUCCAUGUAGGGUCCACCUGGUCCCCAAGGAAUAAAAGGAGACCGUGGAUCUCCUGGAGGCCCUGUGAGUAUCUCUUAGACUUAGUCACUGAUAAAUAACUCUAUUACAACAAACAUGAUGUAAAUGAAAAAGCCGACCUUCAGUGACUUUAAUAGCUGAAUAGCUGAAUAGUGACUUUAAUAAUUAAAGUGUUCCAGAAGGAGUAAUUAAUGGAGUAAUUGAAGCGUUUAGUGAUCUGGAUUAUAUUGAUUUUAAUAUAAGUAAGGUGCCAAAAUAGCUUUUGGCACAAUGACCCAAAGCUAUAAAAAGGCUUAUCUCAACAGUUAUUACAUUUACAUGCCAUCUUUGCCAAGUUUCUCAGAGCCCGUUAGCUCACCUCUGAGGACAAGUGUAGGACCUUCCCUUAAAAAAUAAUUAAUUAAUUUGUUAAUUAGUACUUCAGUUCCAGGGCAUUUAAUUCAAGUUUUAAGCAAAAUGGCUAAAUAUAAUUCAAAGCCAGCUGUUACAUAAAAAUCAAUUUGUUCAUGUUUUUCCAAUCUUCAGAAAAUGACAACUAAAAGUAUUGGUCUUUUGUAGGGUGCUGCUGGUUUCCCUGGUGCUCGUGGUCUGCCCGGUCCCCCUGGUAACAAUGGUAGUCCAGGUCCCCCUGGUAACGCAGGGCCUGCAGGCAAGGAUGGGCCUCCCGGACCCCCUGGUAGUGCUGGUUCUCCUGGAAGUCCAGGACCUUCUGGAACAAGAGGUGAGCCUGGCCCACCAGGUGAAAAAGGAUCACCAGGCACACGAGGAGAAAGGGGGGCACCAGGAGAACCAGGUCCUCAAGGCAUCGUUGGUGGCCGGGGUAACACGGGUUUGCCAGGUCUGCGUGGCCCCAGCGGCCCCCCUGGUAUGGCGGGUGCCAAGGUGAGAGUGCACUCACUGCAGCAAUAGCUCAAAGCUGCUGCAGGAGCUGUAAGCCAGCUGCUAAACAUACCUUUGCCUUACAGAAAGUAAUGAAUGUGUUGUGUUUUCAG
RNAcentral lists this long non-coding RNA (1040 nucleotides) under Calidris pugnax (ruff). RNAcentral describes it as "lncRNA (ENSCPUG00000012414.1)". Lineage: Eukaryota; Metazoa; Chordata; Aves; Charadriiformes; Scolopacidae. The record is from RNAcentral.